Molecule: ribosomal RNA, 253 nt
Filed under: uncultured bacterium
Lineage: Bacteria
Description: partial 16S ribosomal RNA
Rfam family: Bacterial small subunit ribosomal RNA
Source: RNAcentral
UACAGAGGUCCCAAGCGUUGUUCGGAUUCACUGGGCGUAAAGAGCUCGUAGGCGGUCUGUCGCGUCGGAUGUGAAAGCCCGGGGCUUAACCCCGGGUCUGCAUUCGAUACGGGCAGACUAGAGUGUGGUAGGGGAGAUCGGAAUUCCUGGUGUAGCGGUGAAAUGCGCAGAUAUCAGGAGGAACACCGGUGGCGAAGGCGGAUCUCUGGGCCAUUACUGACGCUGAGGAGCGAAAGCGUGGGGAGCGAACAGG